GGCUUAUGAUGCAGACAAGCUGAUGAUAAUAUGGAGUGCCACAUUCGAGAAGCCUGGACUGUCGCCCGGCAGCCCGGAGGCUGAGGGCCUUGCACAAAGCCCCUGAAGACAGAAAUCUGAUUCCUGCCAGCAAGAAGAGACCUCCUAAAGCUGUGACUUCUUCCUCCGGCUCCUGCCCCUCCCCCUUCCAAGGAAGUCACAUGGGUGGGGGUGGGGAAUCAGCCACCCUUUCUGAGGAAUGUUCUCUCCUGGGAGGAGGAGAACUCCCAGAGCCUCCGUGUUGUGAUGGGCAGGUGGGCAGAGGCUGGGUCCUUCAGUUGGGGACUUUCAGUGGCCCCUGUUGUGGAUGUGACCCCAGGCUAGGUUUACUGUGCCCAGCUGGACAGGACACUAGGGGAGAUGGUAGUGGAAGCGGAGGGGGGUGCGGGCUGUAAACAAAGCAGACAGAGUCCGUUGAGUCGGAGAAACAGCGUCAUGCCCGUGAGAACCGAGCAGGUGGGAAGUGGUGGCUGGGGAGCCGGUCAGAGACAGAAGACCUGGCAGAGUAGAAGGUCUGGGCAAGAAACAGGGGCCCUAGAUGCAAAAGCAAGGGGAGCCCCAGGCCCUGUGGCGCUGCACGUGGCGGGGAAAGGUAGCUGUCAGGACCCGGGGGGGGGCAAGGGGGGGACAGCACAGAGGAAGAGGAAGGGGAAGAGGAAGAGGAAGAAGGGGCUCAGAAAGAAAGGAAAGAGCAGGGAGGUGAGGAAUACGCCUUGAGCACCUCAGCCAGGCCCUAGGCUAAGGAGUGUUCCUUUAAUCCUGCAAACAUCUCUCCGAGGUGGGUGUUAGAGCUCCCCCCAAACAGGAAGGUGAGGCCCAGCCAGCAUCUGUGACCCGCCCCAGUUCUUAGGCUGCAAGUAUCCAGCUGUCACCCCAGGCCUUCUGUCCGCCAGUCAUCAGACCGGCAGACCCAUGGAGAAGAGCCCCGUGCCUUUGCAGAGCGAGCGCAGCCUCACAGGAACUCCCCUGCUGCCUGACAUGAUGCAGGCCAACACUGCCUCACAUGACUUGUAGAUAUUUUCACUUAUUUACUUCUUCUAACUCAGCCAAGAACUUCAAGGGAGCAUCAUUCCUGGAGGAUUUGUUCAUCAAUGUGUCACAGUCUAGCUACUGAGUCCAUGGGCAGGAAGGAAAUGGGCAGGUUCAGAGACCCAAACAUCUGUCCCCCGUGUGUCUUGUAACGUUGGGGAGCUGGGACUCCCCCAGCCCUUGGCUGGCACCCUUGGCUGCCCUUCAUUUGGGGUGGGAGAAACGCCAGCCGGAGACACAUCCAAGGUGGGAAAGGGUUCCAAGAGCUCGGGCCUGUGGUGGGACCAGGGGCUGCACCAUCUUCCCCAGUGCUUCUUGCCACUCUGGGAGGAGGAGGCUGCCAGGUUGCUGGCCCUCCAACAGGGUGCCUCCCUGGGUGCACCCCACAAAACAUGGAAGUCACUUUCCCUGUGAGGAUGAAAAACCAGGGCGCAGAGCAAGUGCUACAUGCUGGGCAAGCGGAGAGCUGUGUUAGUCCGGGGACCUGCUGGCCUGGCUCACACGGCCAGCCCAGGGGGCGCUGGCCUGAGAUUUGCACUGGUCUCAGGGGCGCACCUGGUUCCGCUCCAGUCCCGAGAGCAGCACUUGUGCCUCUCCUCCAAGUCUCCACCGGUUUGAAGCCCCGUUCCGUCCCGCUAUGGCUUUUUCCCUCCUUCUUUCCCCCCUUCUUCUUUAGAGCUGGGUCGGGGCGGGGGGGAGGGGCGUGGGGCGGGUUGGGAGAGCAAAGGUGGAGAUGUGCUGUUUUGCACAAGUGACUUGCCUGCACGUCAUCCAAAAGCCGCGUUCCGUUCACAGAGGAAGUGAGAGGUGUCCGAUUCGGUCACGCAGAACGCAGCUGGGCGGCUUGAAGCGAAACACAGUGGCCACUCUGAAGGAGGUGUUGUCCCUGGGCUGCUACAGGGUUGAGUCACAGCAGGCGCCACUCCCACGUCAAAAAUACCGGGCCAUUGUCCCAGGGAGGUGGGCCCCUCGCUCAGGUCAUUUCCGAUCCACUCCCUGGAAUCACGUUAAAGGAAAGGGGAGCCGAGGAAAAGCAGCAGAAACCCGGAUGGCUCAGCAGGCCGAGAAAGGGGAGAGCAGCCCCUGAUGUGGGAUUCCCACCGCCACCCCUCUGGGUCAUCUCCCCCCUGGUCACAUCCAGGACCAGGACCCGGGAGCCGACUGCGGUUGUGUGGCAUCCAAAGACCAAGAACUGGGGGGGCAUUCCUUAAUAAAAAGAACACAACAUUCUGAAAACCAAGUUAAGGACAAAAGUGAGUAUUUAGUUAGUUGCGGGGGCGGGGAUUUGAUGUCAGCGGUGAAUUGCGGACAUCCCACAGAUGCAGGGCUGUUUCCUCAGAGACCUCCUUAACCAGGUUAUCAGAAAUGCAAAUGUAGAAACACUUCCUGUUUGUACCCUGAGCCCCUUCCCUGCCUGGGACACUCCCAGCCUCUCGAGGCUCUGAGAGCCCCAGAAGCCAGUGUCUUGUCAACCUUACGGUAAGUGCUCCUCCGAAAAGACCUCAGCGUUGACAAUCCGACAACUGCGGGAACGGGUAAGCACACAGACAUCGCCCAGCACAGCUGCUCCUGACCAUUCUGGGGGGCCUGGUCUCCUUUGAGAAUGGAAUGACAACUAUGGACCCUCCCCCCGAAAAAUGCAUAAUACUCGUAUCCACUACAUUUUAUAUGCCAUUCCAGGGAUCCUUGGGCCCCCCGAAAGCUUACCUACGGAUCCACGUUAGGGGUCCCCUGACCUAGGGCAAUCCAUUCAUUUCACAGAUGAGGCAACGGAUACCCAGAGUGCGUGGGGGGGUGAUUUGUUCAAGGUCACACAUGGUCAGUGGGGAGCAGAGUCAGGACUCGAAUCCAGCCCCCGCUGGAAUCCACCUCCCAUACUGUAACAGCUUUGCCUCCAGCACUGGAUAGCAUGGGGUCCCUAGGGAGAGAAGUCCCAAGUUAGGGCCCUUCGGAGUAUCCUUCUCUUGUCUUCUGGUAUCUAUCCUUGACAUAUACUUUUGCUCAGUGUAGCUCAGAGAGGGCAGAAAUGAUGGCACUGAAACAGACACGGACGGCGAUGGGUCGGGGAGCUGCAGGCUCUGGGUGUAAAUGCAAUGAGAAAGAUGAAGUCGAGGGAGGGAGAGAAACAGUAAGUAAACAACAUUUGAGUCCCCUGAGAGAGGGCUGGUGCUGCUCUGUUCAGUGCCCGGAGAGCUGAGCCCUCGGGAAAUGCCAGCAAAAUCACAGUGGACUGGCCCCUGCCUGAGUCUUCUUCCCAACCUACUCUCUCCCCUUCUGCCCAGCUUCGUCACCGGUGGCCCCUCGGUGGCCCAAGCCCUGUGCUUCGCAGGUGUGGUUCCUCCUGCCUGUGCAGCUGCCCUCUCACAGCACAGCAGCCCACCCACCACCACGCCAGACUCUUCCUCUGAGCCCCCAGCUGACUUAGGUCUCCUGGCACAGGUCCCUCUCAGCACCUGGGUCGUCUCUUUCAGAGCCCACAGCGUCACUGUCACUCACGGUUCUGUAUUUAUCUGUUUCAGGGCUGUGUCCCCCAACUAGCCAUUAAGCCCAGAGUGCGCAGGGGCAGGGCCCUUGGUUCCUCUGGGCCCUGGGCAUGGCCUAUGGAGGCUCUCCAGAGUUACGUGCUGAUUUCAGUGAAUGGCGGCAUCUGCUGGUUUGGACCUGGGCACUUGGGACGAAUGCCUGUGGGCCAGCUCAUUCCUGAGAUCCUGGCCAGAACUGCGUGCAGCUGGGAGCUUUAGCUUGAGGCACAAAGGGAACAGGAGCAGGCGGCCAGUACCACAAAUGGUGCCCAGCCUCUCAGAGCAGAGGCACCAGCCAAGCGGAGGCUUACAGGGACGGAGACACCAGCUGGACUCUGUGUGCCUUUGAAGUGGAUCCCGGUGCUCUGCCUUUUUCUCAAGAGCCCACCCCUUUGAACUCUGAGGGUCCCCCGGUCCCCCGCCGGCCAGCUCACCAGCUGUUGUGCUAUGGACUGUCCGCAGAGGUCAUGGGCAGAUGGCUGAGGGGGACCCCUCUCCUGAGGGCUGCAGCCCCCCAGGAAUGAAGAGGAAACUCAGAAACGGUUCUCUCCUGCCUUCUGGGCUCACCUCCAGAUGAUGGAGCUAUCUUGAGAGGGCAUAUUCAAGGGUGUUUUCUCUCAUUCCAUUUUGUUUGGGGUAGAGUGUACGCUUUUUUUUUUUUUUUUUCUUUUCAACCUGACACCCAGGACUCCAUGACUGAUGCUGUGAGCAAGGGCCGAGAGCCUUGAUCAAUUCUUCAUUCUUCUUCUUCUCAGGAGGGGAGGGGUUCGUGUGACAGAGAGGCACAAGGUGCCCCUCACAGGCUUGCUGCCUGGGGAGCAGUGGUUGGGGUAGAGGAGCUGAUACUGACUCUAGAAGGUUUCUCUUCCCACUCCCACUUCCCAGCCACUUCGGGGUGGGGGGAGGGGGUUGGAGGGCAGGCAGCCAGAGACAGGUGCAUCCACCCCUGCGAAUGGGCACCUGCCCCAUGUCCCCCUUGCUUGCUCUUAAACAUACGCCAACAGAGCAGCCCUCCCCUCCCCCCAAUCCCGGAUGAUAUCAUCAGUAUGAAAUUUUGUGUCUCCUUUUCUUGUACCAAUCAAUCACCUUUGAAGGGGGAAGAGAAACAAGCCACAAUAGGAUGCUAAGGCCUCUGAGCGAAGCUGAUUGGUGCGCCUGGGCCAGGGUCCCAUCCUGGAGCUAGCUGACUUGACUUCGUUCUCCAGCUUAUCACGCUAUGGCUUGCAGGAGAAUCCUACAGCCUCCGUGGAUGGAAAACAUCCUCGUGGCCGAGGUGACUAGUCUCUAGGCAUCACGACAGGGCCCCGCAGCCUCCCUCCCUUCCUUACUCAGCUGGUGACUCUGUCUUUGAUCGUGGCAUCAUGGCUUUAGCACUUUGUCUCUGUCUUGGAAAAGCCUUUACGUUUGCUCUGUCAUAGCUUCCCUGACCUCCCCAGGCCAGUGUAUCAAAAGAGAGUCACCAGGCUGCCAACAGUGCUCCUGCUUCCAGCCACGAUCUGGGCUAUGCCUGCAGAGACCAGCGCCAGGACCGCCUCGUUCUCUAAUGCUUCUAGGAUUAACCUUAUUUUGGACAACGGGUAUAUGGUUCGAAAUCGUACAUGAGAAAAAAAUUUACAAAUGUGCUAAGCUCAAGAGAUGGGAACAGAGGGAUGAAGGAUGUAAGAACCUAAGAAUCUCAUGGUCCCUGCACCAUCCCCAGGCCACCGAGGGGCUGGCACCGGGAGCCGGGAGUCCACCGCGGGGCGCAGCCGCAGGAGCCGGGGAAACGCCUGGGGAAGGACGGGUAUCCAGCCUCGGAGGAGCAGGAGGGACGCACGACUCAGCUGAACAAGCUCCUGUGGUUCAAGAACCAUCAGGCCAAAGGUUCUCAACAGCAGUGACAGGAACAACCACAGCAAUGCCCAGGGGAGCCCAGAACGACUUCCCCCAGACCCUUUCAGGGACCCUCUCUCACUGCCAAGACAUCUGGGCACCAAGCCGGCACAGGCUCUGCAGACGGGACUAACUCCAGCACUAAGAAUUCACUGAAUGUACAGGGAGCGUCUGACCCUGGAGUGUCUGGCGUGUGGCAGGGAUGGAGGGUGCAAUCCUUCAGCUUCAUGGACGUCACGGUUUGAAGCUGUGGCCUGAUGGUCUUCGCUGCCGCUAACGAUUCCGCAGUGCGAACAGCACACGUCUCUCUAUCUGGCCGGCUCCUGGUGGUCACACGUCUCUCUAUCCGGCCGGCUACGGGUGGUCAUGCGUCUCUCUAUCCGGCCGGCUACUGGUGGUCAUGCGUCUCAUUUUCACUUUGCAACCAUCACAAAUCAUGCUGCUUUCACGGCCGGGCUUGGGAGCAUGUUGUCAGUUCCUAGGACGAGGACUUGGAGGGGAAUUGCUGUUCGUGGGUCUGGCUUUUUGUGUUCAGCGUCAGUGGAUGCUGCCAAAGAGUGUUCCAAAGGCUUUGAGUCGCUUACCCUCCCGCCAGAGCGCCUGCUGCUCCGCGUGGACGUCUUAGGUUUUGUCGAUCUACAAUUUGACCCCCAUUAAUAAUCUGUGGCUUUCGUUGACAGUGAGGUGAUCGUGAGGUUGGGCAUAGCUCACAUGUUCACCAGGCAUUGAGAUUUCUCCUGUAAAGUGAUUUUUCGCCCAUUUUUACUUGAAUUGAUUACAAAAGCUCCCU
This is a long non-coding RNA of Mustela erminea (ermine), 6252 nucleotides long. RefSeq lists it as uncharacterized. The record is from RefSeq and is a predicted model, not a curated record. The transcript has 4 exons. NCBI's taxonomy places the organism in Eukaryota, Metazoa, Chordata, Mammalia, Carnivora, Mustelidae.